Molecule: ribosomal RNA, 253 nt
Filed under: uncultured bacterium
Lineage: Bacteria
Description: partial 16S ribosomal RNA
Rfam family: Bacterial small subunit ribosomal RNA
Source: RNAcentral
UACGUAGGUGGCAAGCGUUGUCCGGAAUUACUGGGCGUAAAGGGCGCGUAGGCGGCCUUCUAAGUCGGACGUGAAAGCCCCAGGCUUAACCUGGGAACUGCGUCCGAUACUGGGAGGCUUGGAUUCGGGAGAGGGAUGUGGAAUUCCAGGUGUAGCGGUGAAAUGCGUAGAUAUCUGGAGGAACACCGGUGGCGAAGGCGGCAUCCUGGACCGAGAUCGACGCUGAGGCGCGAAAGCUAGGGGAGCAAACGGG